UCUUCAGAUGAUGAUCCCAAGCCUUCUGGCGAUCUCUUAAAAUAAAGCCCGGUCUGUUUCAAUAAACAGGAUGUUUAGACAUAUGUUUAAAUUCUACGGUUCUUAAAGACCAUAAAUUUAAAAAAAGGCUUUAUGAAGAAAGCUCUUUAAGCUUUUCCAGUGAUUUAAGAUGAUACCGGGGAAGGUUUUCCGGUUUAUCCCGGAGGGCUUGUAGCUCAGUUGGUUAGAGCGCGCGCUUGAUAAGCGUGAGGUCGGAGGUUCAAGUCCUCCCAGGCCCACCAAUUUAUGCUCGUUUUUUGCUUAUCCAAGAGUAUGAAGCUUAAGCGUAUUAAAGCCUCUUUUAAUCUUUGUUUAUUUUAAAGAUUUAAUUUUAUCAUUCAAAGAUUGUUUGUUAAAUUUAUUCUAUUAAGUUUGUCAAAGGGGGAGUUUGUCAAAGGAGGUUUUUAAAUCCCUUCAUUUUGAAAUUCCUUCAAGGUAUAGAGAAAUUUAAAUGAUGUAUAGAGAAAUUUAAAUGAUGCAAAUCAAAAUAGUACAAAUCAAAGUCGUAUAAAUGAUUCAAGUUGAUAAAUUUUCUUGAGGUUGAUUUGAGAGAGCAUUCUUUAUGGGCCGUAGCUCAGCUGGGAGAGCACCUGCUUUGCAAGCAGGGGGUC
RNAcentral lists this transfer RNA (650 nucleotides) under uncultured Bartonella sp. Its description in RNAcentral is "partial 16S-23S ribosomal RNA intergenic spacer". The stretch from base 205 to 278 matches the Rfam family "tRNA". Lineage: Bacteria; Pseudomonadati; Pseudomonadota; Alphaproteobacteria; Hyphomicrobiales; Bartonellaceae. The record is from RNAcentral.